This is a non-coding RNA of Pelobates cultripes (western spadefoot toad), 213 nucleotides long. Lineage: Eukaryota; Metazoa; Chordata; Amphibia; Anura; Pelobatidae. The record is from the annotation of a GenBank genome assembly.
UGUGUGUGUGUGCUGGAUGAUGGUAUUUUGUGUGAGUGCUGGAUGAUGUGUGUGUGUGCUGGAUGAUGUGUGUGUGUGCUGGAUGAUGGGUGUGUGUGAGUGCUGACGAUGUGUGUGUGAUGGAUGAUGUGUGUGUGAGUGCUGGAUGAUGUGUGUGUGUGUGUGUGUGUGCUGGAUGAUGUGUGUGUGUGCUGGAUGAUGGGUGUGUGUGUG